RNAcentral lists this ribosomal RNA (562 nucleotides) under uncultured bacterium. RNAcentral describes it as "bacterial SSU rRNA". It matches the Rfam family "Bacterial small subunit ribosomal RNA", at positions 338 to 916 of the family's 1533-position model. The record is from RNAcentral.
CCUACGGGAGGCAGCAGUGGGGAAUAUUGGACAAUGGGCGCAAGCCUGAUCCAGCAAUGCCGCGUGAGUGAUGAAGGCCUUAGGGUUGUAAAGCUCUUUUACCAGGGAUGAUAAUGACAGUACCUGGAGAAUAAGCUCCGGCUAACUCCGUGCCAGCAGCCGCGGUAAUACGGAGGGAGCUAGCGUUGUUCGGAAUUACUGGGCGUAAAGCGUACGUAGGCGGUUAUUCAAGUCAGAGGUGAAAGCCCGGGGCUCAACCCCGGAACUGCCUUUGAAACUAGGUAGCUAGAAUCUUGGAGAGGUCAGUGGAAUUCCGAGUGUAGAGGUGAAAUUCGUAGAUAUUCGGAAGAACACCAGUGGCGAAGGCGACUGACUGGACAAGUAUUGACGCUGAGGUACGAAAGCGUGGGGAGCAAACAGGAUUAGAUACCCUGGUAGUCCACGCCGUAAACGAUGAUAACUAGCUGUCCGGUCACUUGGUGACUGAGUGGCGCAGCUAACGCAUUAAGUUAUCCGCCUGGGGAGUACGGUCGCAAGAUUAAAACUUAAAUAGAAUUGACGG